GACCUGGUGGUGAAUGGUUCACACCCGCUUUCCUUAACCAUUGCAACGUCGCAAAAUAAAGUGGGAGUACUUGGUUCAAUUCCGGGUCAGGUCA
Molecule: non-coding RNA, 94 nt
Organism: Mycena metata
Lineage: Eukaryota; Fungi; Basidiomycota; Agaricomycetes; Agaricales; Mycenaceae
Source: the annotation of a GenBank genome assembly